GGGGGCGAACUAGGAUCGACCGGAUGACUGAGAGGAGAGGUGGCGCGCCGAGGUUGGUCGGCUGGCCUCGUAAAAAGCCGAUCAAAAAUGAACUGCCGAGAGCAACAGCUCUCUCCGUCUCGCCGCCUAAUCGCGGCCCCGCUUGAUCGCGGUUGCAGACGGCUCCGUGACGAACCCUCCUCCCGCUGGGUUUGUCCGGUGCUCGCCAAUGCGGGAUCGCUCGUGCCUAACCGCCUGUUGCGGCACGAGUUAAACGUCACGACGGGCUAAGCGCUUGGACCCCCGCCAAUCGGGGAAAAAGCGACGAAAACUCAAAGGUUGGCUACGCGCGUAGAGGCCCUCCUUAAUGCAUUUCGGGACGCGGGUGCAAUUCCCGCCGCCUCCACUU
Isosphaera pallida ATCC 43644 is the source of this 388-nucleotide non-coding RNA. It matches the Rfam family "transfer-messenger RNA". From Rfam's summary of the family: Bacterial tmRNA, also known as 10Sa RNA or SsrA, is named for its dual tRNA and mRNA-like properties. Its role is to liberate the mRNA from a stalled ribosome. The record is from Rfam. NCBI's taxonomy places the organism in Bacteria, Pseudomonadati, Planctomycetota, Planctomycetia, Isosphaerales, Isosphaeraceae.